Xiphias gladius (swordfish) is the source of this 118-nucleotide long non-coding RNA. RefSeq lists it as uncharacterized. NCBI's taxonomy places the organism in Eukaryota, Metazoa, Chordata, Actinopteri, Istiophoriformes, Xiphiidae. The transcript has 3 exons. The record is from RefSeq and is a predicted model, not a curated record.
CCUGGAAGAAGUGAGACCCCAGGUUCUUAACUGGAUUACCCUGAAAGGCCCCAGCAGCUCCGCCGACACUCAUUUCACACGGGACAGGAAUUAUUACCGUGUGACGGAGGAAGAUAUC